GAUGAACGCUGGCGGCGUGCUUAACACAUGCAAGUCGAACGGAAAGGCCCAAGCUUGCUUGGGUACUCGAGUGGCGAACGGGUGAGUAACACGUGGGUGAUCUGCCCUGCACUUCGGGAUAAGCCUGGGAAACUGGGUCUAAUACCGGAUAGGACGAUGGUUUGGAUGCCAUUGUGGAAAGUUUUUUCGGUGUGGGAUGAGCUCGCGGCCUAUCAGCUUGUUGGUGGGGUAAUGGCCUACCAAGGCGUCGACGGGUAGCCGGCCUGAGAGGGUGUACGGCCACAUUGGGACUGAGAUACGGCCCAGACUCCUACGGGAGGCAGCAGUGGGGAAUAUUGCACAAUGGGCGCAAGCCUGAUGCAGCGACGCCGCGUGGGGGAUGACGGCCUUCGGGUUGUAAACGCCUUUCGCUAGGGACGAAGCGUUUUUGUGACGGUACCUGGAGAAGAAGCACCGGCUAACUACGUG
RNAcentral lists this ribosomal RNA (468 nucleotides) under uncultured bacterium. Its description in RNAcentral is "partial 16S ribosomal RNA". It matches the Rfam family "Bacterial small subunit ribosomal RNA", at positions 28 to 507 of the family's 1533-position model. The record is from RNAcentral.